GACGAACGCUGGCGGCGUGCCUAAUACAUGCAAGUAGAACGCACAGUUUAUACCGUAGCUUGCUACACCAUAGACUGUGAGUUGCGAACGGGUGAGUAACGCGUAGGUAACCUGCCUGGUAGCGGGGGAUAGCUAUUGGAAACGAUAGCUAAUACCGCAUAAUAUUGAUUAUUGCAUGAUAAUUGAUUGAAAGAUGCUAUUGCAUCACUACCAGAUGGACCUGCGUUGUAUUAACUAGUAGGUGAGGUAACGGCUCACCUAGGCGACGAUACAUAGCCGACCUGAGAGGGUGAUCGGCCACACUGGGACUGAGACACGGCCCAGACUCCUACGGGAGGCAGCAGUAGGGAAUCUUCGGCAAUGGACGAAAGUCUGACCGAGCAACGCCGCGUGAGUGAAGAAGGUUUUCGGAUCGUAAAGCUCUGUUGUAAGAGAAGAACGGGUGUGAGAGUGGAAAGUUCACACUGUGACGGUAUCUUACCAGAAAGGGACGGCUAACUACGUG
RNAcentral lists this ribosomal RNA (505 nucleotides) under uncultured bacterium. RNAcentral describes it as "partial 16S ribosomal RNA". It matches the Rfam family "Bacterial small subunit ribosomal RNA", at positions 28 to 507 of the family's 1533-position model. The record is from RNAcentral.